RNAcentral lists this ribosomal RNA (588 nucleotides) under Dialister pneumosintes. RNAcentral's name for it is "bacterial SSU rRNA". It matches the Rfam family "Bacterial small subunit ribosomal RNA", at positions 375 to 956 of the family's 1533-position model. The record is from RNAcentral. Lineage: Bacteria; Bacillati; Bacillota; Negativicutes; Veillonellales; Veillonellaceae.
ACGAAAGUCUGACGGAGCAACGCCGCGUGAACGAAGAAGGUCUUCGGAUUGUAAAGUUCUGUGAUUCGGGACGAAAGGGUUUGUGGUGAAUAAUCAUAGACAUUGACGGUACCGAAAAAGCAAGCCACGGCUAACUACGUGCCAGCAGCCGCGGUAAUACGUAGGUGGCAAGCGUUGUCCGGAAUUAUUGGGCGUGAAGCGCGCGCAGGCGGUUUCUUAAGUCCAUCUUAAAAGCGUGGGGCUCAACCCCAUGAGGGGAUGGAAACUGGGAAGCUGGAGUAUCGGAGAGGAAAGUGGAAUUCCUAGUGUAGCGGUGAAAUGCGUAGAGAUUAGGAAGAACACCGGUGGCGAAGGCGACUUUCUAGACGAAAACUGGACGCUGAGGCGCGAAAGCGUGGGGAGCAAACAGGAUUAGAUACCCUGGUAGUCCACGCCGUAAACGAUGGAUACUAGGUGUAGGAGGUAUCGACCCCUCCUGUGCCGGAGUUAACGCAAUAAGUAUCCGCCAGGGAAGUACGAUCGCAAGAUUAAACUCAAAGGAAUUGACGGGGGCCCGCACAAGCGGUGGAGUAUGUGGUUUAUUCGAAC